This 497-nucleotide ribosomal RNA is filed under the name uncultured bacterium. RNAcentral describes it as "partial 16S ribosomal RNA". It matches the Rfam family "Bacterial small subunit ribosomal RNA", at positions 28 to 507 of the family's 1533-position model. The record is from RNAcentral.
GAUGAACGCUGGCGGCGUGCCUAAUACAUGCAAGUCGAGCGAACGGACGAGAAGCUUGCUUCUCUGAUGUUAGCGGCGGACGGGUGAGUAACACGUGGAUAACCUACCUAUAAGACUGGGAUAACUUCGGGAAACCGGAGCUAAUACCGGAUAAUAUUUUGAACCGCAUGGUUCAAAAGUGAAAGACGGUCUUGCUGUCACUUAUAGAUGGAUCCGCGCUGCAUUAGCUAGUUGGUAAGGUAACGGCUUACCAAGGCAACGAUGCAUAGCCGACCUGAGAGGGUGACCGCCACCAGUAGACCUGACACAGGGCCCAGACUCCUACGGGAGGCAGCAGUAGGGAAUCUUCCGCAGUGGGCGAAACCCGGACGGAGCAACGCCGCGUGAGUGAUGAAGUUCUUCGGACCGUAAAACUCUGUUAUUAGGGAAAAACAUAUGUUUAAGGAACGGUGCAAGUCUGGACGGUACCUAAUCAAAAAGCCCCGGCUAACUACGUG